This 346-nucleotide ribosomal RNA is filed under the name uncultured eukaryote. Its description in RNAcentral is "SSU rRNA". It matches the Rfam family "Eukaryotic small subunit ribosomal RNA", at positions 594 to 945 of the family's 1831-position model. The record is from RNAcentral.
AUAGCGUAUAUUAAAGUUGUUGCGGUUAAAAAGCUCGUAGUUGGAUCUCAGUUCCAGACGGGUGGUCCGCCUACCGGUGGUUACUGCCUGUUCUGAACAGCCAGCCGGUUUCUCUUGAUGAUCUUCACCGGUUGUCUUGGGUGACCGGCAAGUUUACUUUGAAAAAAUUAGAGUGCUCAAAGCAGGCGUGACGCCUGAAUAAUGGUGCAUGGAAUAAUGGAAUAGGACCUCGGUUCUAUUUUGUUGGUUUUCGGAACACGAGGUAAUGAUUAAGAGGAACAGACGGGGGCAUUCGUAUUCCGGCGCUAGAGGUGAAAUUCUUGGACCGCCGGAAGACGAACAACUG